This 427-nucleotide ribosomal RNA is filed under the name uncultured bacterium. Its description in RNAcentral is "bacterial SSU rRNA". It matches the Rfam family "Bacterial small subunit ribosomal RNA", at positions 355 to 775 of the family's 1533-position model. The record is from RNAcentral.
UCGAGAAUUUCUCUCAAUGGGGGAAACCCUGAAGGAGCGACGCCGCGUGAGGGAUGAAGGGCUUCGGCCCGUAAACCUCUGUCAUUUGCGAACAAACGUUAUGGUUGAACAUUCCAUGACUUGAUUGUAGCGAAAGAGGAAGGGACGGCUAACUCUGUGCCAGCAGCCGCGGUAAUACAGAGGUCCCAAGCGUUGUUCGGAUUCACUGGGCGUAAAGGGUGCGCAGGUGGGUUUGCAAGUUCGAUGUGAAAGCCCCGGGCUUAACCCGGGAAUGGCAUUGGAUACUGCAGAUCUGGAGGAUUGGAGGGGGGACUGGAAUUCUUGGUGUAGCAGUGAAAUGCGUAGAUAUCAAGAGGAACACCAGUGGCGAAGGCGAGUCCCUGGACAAUACCUAACACUGAGGCACGAAAGCUAGGGGAGCAAACAG